Molecule: ribosomal RNA, 482 nt
Filed under: Chaetoceros debilis
Lineage: Eukaryota; Bacillariophyta; Thalassiosirophyceae; Chaetocerotales; Chaetocerotaceae
Description: partial Bacterial large subunit ribosomal RNA
Rfam family: Bacterial large subunit ribosomal RNA
Source: RNAcentral
AGUACCGUGAGGGAAAGGUGAAAUGAAAGUUUACAAACGUAAACUUAAAAUAACAUUGAAAUUUAAUGCUGACAAGCAGUUGAAGCUUUUAAAACCAAAAGUAACAGCGUACCUUUUGCAUAAUGGAUCAACGAGUUUAUUUUAGUGGCGAGCUUAAGCAACAAGAAAUUGCGAAGGCGAAAAGAAACUAAGUUUUAAAAGGCUGUUAAGUCUCUAAAAUAAGACCCGAAACUAAGUGAUCUAACCAUGACCAGGCUGAAUUUCAAGCGGCAACGCUUAUUGGAGGGCCGAACCCGUGUAUGUGGAAAAAUACUGGGAUGAGUUGUGGUUAGGGGUGAAAGGCCAAUCAAACUUAGAGAUAGCUGGUUUUCUGCGAAAUCUAUUUAAGUAGAGCGUUUAAAAACUUUAUUCUGGGGUAGAGCACUCGAUAAAUAAUGGGAGCGUAAAGCUUUACUGAAUUUAAUGAAACUCCGAAUACGGAA